Gambusia affinis (western mosquitofish) is the source of this 2590-nucleotide long non-coding RNA. RefSeq lists it as uncharacterized. The record is from RefSeq and is a predicted model, not a curated record. The transcript has 2 exons. NCBI's taxonomy places the organism in Eukaryota, Metazoa, Chordata, Actinopteri, Cyprinodontiformes, Poeciliidae.
GUUGUCUGACCAGGAGAUUUUCCCACUUAAGCUGUGGAUCUCAGCAGCUCCUUCAGAGUUGCUAUUGGCUUUUUUGGCUGCUCUUUGGGUUCAUGAUGUACUUGGUUGCCUUGAAUUUCAAUUUGGGGUAUCUGAAUAAGAUGGGGUGCCUGUAAAUGGAAAGCCUCAUGGUUUGGUAGUAUUUUUAUACAAGUAUAAUUUUUAAUCCAACUUCAAAAAUAUGCACAACUUUAUUUUUUGUAUCUUUUAAAUCACAAUAAAAUGUUUUAAAUAUUACAUCUCAAGCCUUCUGACUUCACAUGUAUCUAAUGGAUGCAUAUAAUGGAGUUCUGCUACUAUCACCUUCAGAAAUGCUUUAAUUUUAGACUGACCAACUUCCUGAUUGAUCAUUUUCUCUUCAGCUACAUCGUGUCAUGUUUGUCGUAAUUAACAUGCAUCAGAAGCAUCGUACGCUCAGGACGGAUCGAUGGCGGAACGCCUCGAUCUGAUCGCAACCAAUACCUGCGAUGCGAUUGAAACUUUCCUCCUGUAUAAACAGGCUCAGGUCAAUAGAAGAAAGCUUGCCUCGCUUCUAUCUGUGACACUAGUGGUGCCUUCGAAUGACACCCUGCUUUAAUUUUGUCUCUCAACUUAGCGGCUCGGCUGUUCCUGUGUCAGCUGAAUUCCAGUUGUGGUCUGGGCUAGCCUGGUGACCUCAAUUGACUAUUGAUGGAUCGGGUUUGAAAUUGCACAGACCGUCCCUGUUGUUAGACUCUGCAGCUGAGCUGUAGGGCGUAUGUGGAUGAAAUUAUAUUUUAGAAUUUCUUUUUCUUCUCUUAUAACAUGAUUGCAGCAAUACUUCAAGUUCAGGGUUGUGGAAACUUAUUUUUCUUUUAGGAUGUUUGCAUUUAGCUUUCUGGUGAAAACAUUACUAGAUUAAAACUGUAUCUUGCUUUGACAGAAUGGAGAUUUAAUUUAGUAGAAGUAGUGAGGCUAAUCCUUCAUUUAGUGGUUAUGGAAAAGUAAUUCCAGGCUUUUUUUUUUCUUAUUGUUGCAUAAUCAAGGCUUCCAGCCAGUCAAAGAAACCAAGGCACAAAACGAGCUACUGAAAAAUACAGUCAUAUUGCCUGGUCAUCCCUGGUUGGCACCAGUGUGUGAUCAUACUGUGAGCUCUACAUAGUUGUCUGUGUGUGUGUGUGUAUGUGUGAGUCGGCAGACAUUUCUCACGGUUUGAGGAAGUGCAGAGGCGUCAUAGAAAUGGCCCUGCUGGAAUACGUAGGCAGUUUUUUUUUUUUUUCUUCCUCUUACGCACACUAACUUUGCUGUUCUUCCAAAAUCUGCCUUUCGUUACUCUGUAGGCUCCUUUCGAGAGAGCAAAGUCUUUCUGACCUCCUUUCAUCUUUUUAUUCUCUCACACUAGAACUUUAGUCGCAUUGGCUGAGACUUUAUGUCCUGACUGCUCAGAGAUUGGCAAAAACAAACCCACACACAUAAACAGGAAAACACGCAUGUGACAAGAUUGUUCGGUGUUUGCUUUCUCAUUUGCAAGUCUGCCCAUGCAGCCCUGUUUGUGUCAGAGUCAAUAAUCCGCUUGGAAAAUUACCCCAGCCAGCCAGUGAGGGUGAUUGAUAAGACCAGUAAACAUCCACACUUCUUACAGUCAGUAAAAAUGUUGAUUUUCUUUUUUCCCCUCUUGAAAUUUGAACAUAUUCUGAGAAUAUUUGAGGUAAAAGAAUCAAUUUGAUUGACUAAAACUAUCAGGAAUAAAUAAUCACUACUUUGAAGUAAUACAUUUAAUUGUUGAUUUUUAUGUGGGUGUGAAAUAGAUUUUGUUUAAACCAAUCUUUUUCCAGUGCAAGAUGAUCAAGAGAGGACUGAACAUGUGCUGCGGCGGAGGUCGAAUCCUUUGUGGUAAUUUUGGGGUUAAAUUUCAGUCCUUCCAAAGACUGCAGGUGUGAGGCAGCACAUACUGGAACCCACUAGUGGAUAAAUGUGCUUUUAACUGCCAGCUAAUGUGGACUUUAGCCCUCAGCUCUGCUGCUAUGAGGGAAGGCUGUGGGAGGCAGAUGGAGAGAAACCUCUGAACUGGCCUUUUAAAGGGCCAUUUAUCUUCUAAUACCAGAUUUAUGCUUGUUUUGCUGCUUCCUAGCAACACUUGUUCAAGAUAUGAUGCCCCUGUGGAUAAGGAAUAUCAAAUGAGGUAUACAAUGCAGAGCGUACGAGUAGCGCAGCCUCCCUGCCAUCUGUUCCUGUAAGCUGUCAGUCAGCAGUGUACUGUGGACAAAUGAAGGGAAAACCCCCUGAUUUCUUUCCCCCUUUCUAAAUGAGGCACAAUCAAGGGGCUCACAUCUCAUGACCACACGCUGUUAGCACAAAUCACAAAGCUCGUUAGUGACACAAACAUCAUUAGUUUUAAUGAAUAACUGCUUGUGCUGCCCACCGCUUCACACCUACUGGUGAACUUUGUUCUGUGGCUACCAUUUUUAGCGGACAAGGGGUGUAAAGGUUUUAAUAUGGUGAAUCUAUUUCAGUUUGACUCUACCAGUCCACGUGUUUGUCUGUCUUCUCCCAACAUUUGUUUAAUGUCCAAUAAAAGACUUUCUUCAUUUAA